This is a non-coding RNA of Pelobates cultripes (western spadefoot toad), 220 nucleotides long. NCBI's taxonomy places the organism in Eukaryota, Metazoa, Chordata, Amphibia, Anura, Pelobatidae. The record is from the annotation of a GenBank genome assembly.
AUAACAUGAACUGGAAUGUUGACACUGGAGGCUGUGGACGCUGCUCCUAUGAGGAAGGAGUGCCCUGAGUAGUAAGCUGCUUUGAGGCCCAGUUGAGUGAGCAAAGACCUGACGUAGGUCAUGAAGGUUGUAGUGGUGAGUACCGAACUUUGUAAUAGUAUUAAUGGUUGUGAUGGUAUUGAAAUAUGAUGCUAUAGGUAUGCAUCCAGAACCUUUGCGG